Molecule: unclassified non-coding RNA, 2502 nt
Filed under: Portunus trituberculatus (swimming crab)
Lineage: Eukaryota; Metazoa; Arthropoda; Malacostraca; Decapoda; Portunidae
Description: facilitated trehalose transporter Tret1-like, transcript variant X2
Source: RNAcentral
CGCGGUUAGUUAGCUUGUGACUGUGGACGGGGAGGGUACGACAACUACACUCUGCGCGCUCCCUCACUGAAACGUGCUCUCAUGCCCCCUCCGCGUCUAACCUCGAACACUCUUACGAUCCCGCCAUCGACUCUCUACGGGGCAUCCCUCACGAUACGAGUUUUGCGAAGCGUGCUACUACUUCGUGUGUGAUCUCGAGCAUGAAGUGAGCCACGAACGAAGCCCGUGAACGAUUCCUGCGCCCCACUUGCCUCCAGCUCGGACAGUGUGCUUGUGAACUUUUCUGGAGCGAUGGUGUUGGCGGCCUCUGGAAGUUAGCUCCAGUGUUGCGAAGGGAGAGGACGACUUGAGGUGUGUAUCAGGGAUCUGGUGAAAAGAAUCUACGACUGAGACGACUCUACUACUACUACUAUUACUACGAAAACGACCUCCACGACAACUUCGCCACGCUCUUAGUAACCACACCAGGAUUUGCAUUUAGAAAAGAGUGAACCUCCAACCCCAGCGAUGGCGAGCUCCACGCUGAGCCUUAUCUACAGCAACAGACCGCAGCGGCUGACCCAGGUUGUGGCGACGCUGAUCGUGGCCCUGGGACCACUGGCGACGGGUCUGGGAAAAGGCUACUCUUCCCCUGCCCUCGCCUCCAUGCAGCUGCCCGCCCCCACCAACAGCACGCAGUCUUACUACUUCACCAUCACCCCGGAGCAAGGAUCCUGGAUCGCGUCACUGUCUCUACUCGGCGCCUUCUUCGGCGGCAUUCCCAGUGGCCUGGCGAUGCGACUUGGCAGGAAAAGUGUCCUAGCGAUGGUGGCCCUCCCCUUCGCUCUGUCGUGGCUUCUGACGGUAUUCGCUUCCAGCGUGUACAUGGUGUACGCCUCCUCCUUCAUGUGUGGCAUCUGCUCGGCGAUCGUGUCUCUGGUCACGCCUGUGUACAUCAGCGAGAUCGCCCAUCCGGAGAUCCGCGGAUGCCUCUGCUCAGUGGCUAAACUGACUACCAACGUGGGGAUGCUGAUGUCCUUCCUGUUGGGUGUGUACCUCGACUGGCGCCAGCUGGCCAUGGUGGCGUCCAUCGCCCCGGCACUGCUCUUCCUGGCACUCAUGCUCAUCCCCGAGACGCCGAGCUACCUGUUGUAUCGCGGCCGUGAGGAUGACGCCGCCACCUCGCUGACGUGGCUGCGAGGAGGCCUGGACGUGACCCAGGAGCUGGACACCAUGAAGGCCAACAUAGAGGUCAUGCGUAAGGACUCUGAGGUCACAUGCUACAGGGAGUGGCGCCGUGACCUGGUCAAGCCUGUCCUCAUCACCUGUGGCCUCAUGGUGUUCCAGAAGUUCAGCGGCGCCAACGCCUUCAACUUCUACGCAGUGCCGAUCCUGAGCGAGGCCUUCGUGGGCAUCAACCCCUACAGCGCCGCCGUGGUGGUGGGUCUGCUGCAGAUCCUCGCCGGUAUGGUGUCUUCCGUGCUGAUCGACACUGUAGGUCGCCUGCCCCUGCUGAUCGUCUCAAACCUCCUCAUGUCCACGGCACUGGCGGGCUUCGGAACCUUCCUGUACGUGACAGGAAGCGACAAUGGAGUGGACGCUGGCGCCCGCAUGGACUGGAUCCCUCUCACCUGCGCGCUCAUCUUCCAGGUGGCCUUUGCUUUGGGUAUCUCGCCCAUCUCCUGGAUUUACAUCGGCGAGCUGUUCCCGUUGAAGCACCGCGGACUUGGCGCCAUUGCAAAUUCCGUGAGUUACGCGUGUUCCUUUGCCAGCGUGAAGACUUUCGUCGACUUCCAGUUGCUGCUAGGACUGUACGGGGCCUUCUGGCUAUACGCGGGGAUCUCCAUUAUCGGUCUGGUAUUCACAGUGUCCUUAGUACCGGAGACUAAAGGGCGCGGUCUUCAGGAGAUGGAGACAAACUAUCAGACUCAGGAGAAGUACUCUCCGAUGUAUAGCGAACAGGAAAGGGAGAACAAGUUGAUACCUUAGGUCUAUCUAUCGUGUGUGUGUUCAGGCGGAAUGUGCCUUUGCAUUUCAGGUCCCAAGCAGGCCCUGAGUGGCCCUGCUAGGGUGCAUCACAAAGUGUCCUUCGUAGAGGGCAUGGGGGCGUGGGUUUGGGUAGGUGGAGAGCCUGAGUUGUGCUGUGGUACAAAGACGAAUGAUAACGAUGGUGUCGCAGAACCACUAAUCAUCUACCUGCCCAGCGCCUCCCACGCCCCGCUGCCCCAACCUGUCCUGCGUGUGUGCGUAUACGUGCAGUGUAUGCAUAGAGAUGUGUACAGUUUUGGUAUACAUGAGUAGGAGAGAGUUUGUGAUUAUGUGUACGUCUAUGUUUGUGUAGACAAUUUAGUAUACUCAUUUUGUUCCUUUAUCCGUGAAAUGAUGAAGAAUGAUUUUUUAUUUUCUUAAAAGCAACCCGUUUUUUGACGGGUGUAAGACAAUUAUUUGUAAUGUAUAGCUGUGUGUGUGUGUGUGUGUGUGUGUGUGUGUGUGUGUGUGUGUGUGUGUGUGUGUGUGUGUGUG